RNAcentral lists this ribosomal RNA (1544 nucleotides) under Pectobacterium carotovorum subsp. carotovorum PCC21. RNAcentral's name for it is "16S ribosomal RNA". It matches the Rfam family "Bacterial small subunit ribosomal RNA". The record is from RNAcentral. Lineage: Bacteria; Pseudomonadati; Pseudomonadota; Gammaproteobacteria; Enterobacterales; Pectobacteriaceae.
AAAUUGAAGAGUUUGAUCAUGGCUCAGAUUGAACGCUGGCGGCAGGCCUAACACAUGCAAGUCGAGCGGUAGCACAGAAGAGCUUGCUCUUUGGGUGACGAGCGGCGGACGGGUGAGUAAUGUCUGGGAAACUGCCUGAUGGAGGGGGAUAACUACUGGAAACGGUAGCUAAUACCGCAUAACCUCGCAAGAGCAAAGAGGGGGGACCUUCGGGCCUCUCGCCAUCAGAUGUGCCCAGAUGGGAUUAGCUAGUAGGUGAGGUAAUGGCUCACCUAGGCGACGAUCCCUAGCUGGUCUGAGAGGAUGACCAGCCACACUGGAACUGAGACACGGUCCAGACUCCUACGGGAGGCAGCAGUGGGGAAUAUUGCACAAUGGGCGCAAGCCUGAUGCAGCCAUGCCGCGUGUGUGAAGAAGGCCUUCGGGUUGUAAAGCACUUUCAGCGGGGAGGAAGGCAGUAAGGUUAAUAACCUUGCUGAUUGACGUUACCCGCAGAAGAAGCACCGGCUAACUCCGUGCCAGCAGCCGCGGUAAUACGGAGGGUGCAAGCGUUAAUCGGAAUGACUGGGCGUAAAGCGCACGCAGGCGGUCUGUUAAGUUGGAUGUGAAAUCCCCCGGGCUUAACCUGGGAACUGCAUUCAAAACUGACAGGCUAGAGUCUUGUAGAGGGGGGUAGAAUUCCAGGUGUAGCGGUGAAAUGCGUAGAGAUCUGGAGGAAUACCGGUGGCGAAGGCGGCCCCCUGGACAAAGACUGACGCUCAGGUGCGAAAGCGUGGGGAGCAAACGGGAUUAGAUACCCUGGUAGUCCACGCUGUAAACGAUGUCGAUUUGGAGGUUGUGCCCUUGAGGCGUGGCUUCCGGAGCUAACGCGUUAAAUCGACCGCCUGGGGAGUACGGCCGCAAGGUUAAAACUCAAAUGAAUUGACGGGGGCCCGCACAAGCGGUGGAGCAUGUGGUUUAAUUCGAUGCAACGCGAAGAACCUUACCUACUCUUGACAUCCAGAGAACUUAGCAGAGAUGCUUUGGUGCCUUCGGGAACUCUGAGACAGGUGCUGCAUGGCUGUCGUCAGCUCGUGUUGUGAAAUGUUGGGUUAAGUCCCGCAACGAGCGCAACCCUUAUCCUUUGUUGCCAGCGAUUCGGUCGGGAACUCAAAGGAGACUGCCGGUGAUAAACCGGAGGAAGGUGGGGAUGACGUCAAGUCAUCAUGGCCCUUACGAGUAGGGCUACACACGUGCUACAAUGGCGUAUACAAAGAGAAGCGACCUCGCGAGAGCAAGCGGACCUCAUAAAGUACGUCGUAGUCCGGAUUGGAGUCUGCAACUCGACUCCAUGAAGUCGGAAUCGCUAGUAAUCGUAGAUCAGAAUGCUACGGUGAAUACGUUCCCGGGCCUUGUACACACCGCCCGUCACACCAUGGGAGUGGGUUGCAAAAGAAGUAGGUAGCUUAACCUUCGGGAGGGCGCUUACCACUUUGUGAUUCAUGACUGGGGUGAAGUCGUAACAAGGUAACCGUAGGGGAACCUGCGGUUGGAUCACCUCCUUA